CUUAGAGUUUACAACCUUUAUCUGUUUGCAACACUGGAAAGGGUAAUUCAUGACAACUUGAAACCAGAUAAACAUAACUCCUAAGCUGUCCAGUUUUACAGUGAAAUAUUGGGUGUGGAAAAGCCAUAGUGACAAAAGAGAAAAUUGGCUAUGAAGGGAGAAUCACAAGUCCUUAUUACCCAAGCUAUUACCCUCCAAAAUGUCUUUGUGCGUGGAACUUCCAGACUCCACAGAAGAACCUUGGUAUAGCUCUGAAGUUUCAUAACUAUACCAUCAGUGAGAAGAAUAUUAAAGGCUGUGAGCGAGG
RNAcentral lists this long non-coding RNA (307 nucleotides) under Chrysolophus pictus (golden pheasant). RNAcentral describes it as "lncRNA (ENSCPIG00010014244.1)". The record is from RNAcentral. Lineage: Eukaryota; Metazoa; Chordata; Aves; Galliformes; Phasianidae.